Molecule: ribosomal RNA, 849 nt
Filed under: uncultured Bacteroidota bacterium
Lineage: Bacteria; Pseudomonadati; Bacteroidota
Description: bacterial SSU rRNA
Rfam family: Bacterial small subunit ribosomal RNA
Source: RNAcentral
AUCCGGAUUUAUUGGGUUUAAAGGGUGCGUAGGUGGAUUGAUAAGUCAGUGGUGAAAGUUUGCAGCUUAACUGUAAAAUUGCCGUUGAAACUGUCGGUCUUGAGUGCAAAUGAGGUAGGCGGAAUGUGUUGUGUAGCGGUGAAAUGCUUAGAUAUAACACAGAACUCCGAUUGCGAAGGCAGCUUACUGGGAUGCAACUGACACUGAUGCACGAAAGCGUGGGUAUCAAACAGGAUUAGAUACCCUGGUAGUCCACGCAGUAAACGAUGAAUACUAGCUGUAUGCGAUACACCGUAUGUGGCACAGCGAAAGCGUUAAGUAUUCCACCUGGGGAGUACGUUCGCAAGAAUGAAACUCAAAGGAAUUGACGGGGGCCCGCACAAGCGGAGGAACAUGUGGUUUAAUUCGAUGAUACGCGAGGAACCUUACCCGGGCUUGAAAUGCAGAAGACGGAUCGGGAAACCGAUUUUCAGCAAUGGCUUCUGUGUAGGUGCUGCAUGGUUGUCGUCAGCUCGUGCCGUGAGGUGUCGGCUUAAGUGCCAUAACGAGCGCAACCCUUGCCAAUAGUUACUAUCAGGUAAUGCUGAGGACUCUAUUGGGACUGCCAUCGUAAGAUGCGAGGAAGGUGGGGAUGACGUCAAAUCAGCACGGCCCUUACGUCCGGGGCGACACACGUGUUACAAUGGGGAGUACAGAGGGUUGCUACCUGGUGACAGGAUGCUAAUCUCUUAAAUCUUCUCUCAGUUCGGAUCGAAGUCUGCAACUCGACUUCGUGAAGCUGGAUUCGCUAGUAAUCGCGCAUCAGCCAUGGCGCGGUGAAUACGUUCCCGGGCCUUGUACACACCGCCC